RNAcentral lists this ribosomal RNA (184 nucleotides) under Dendropsophus labialis (green dotted treefrog). Its description in RNAcentral is "partial 16S ribosomal RNA". Lineage: Eukaryota; Metazoa; Chordata; Amphibia; Anura; Hylidae. The record is from RNAcentral.
CCCUAUUUAGCCCCAUGCCCCCCUUAAACCUUAUAACACCAACUAAAACAUUCACCAUACUUUAGUAAAGGCGAUUGAAAAACUAAUUAGAGCCAUAACAAUAGUACCGCAAGGGAAAGAUGAAAUAAAAAUGAAAUAAAUAUUAAGCAAAAAAAAGCAGAGAUAUACCCUCGUACCUUUUGCA